CCUCUCACUGGAUUUAAGGAGGCCAGAGGGUUACAAAUACUGGAGAAGCAGCUUUAAGAACAUAAGGAAAGGCACCAAGAGGGCCGGUUGCUCCGCUUGGACCACUGCUCCUCCUCCUAAUGCUUUCUACCUGCACUGAGCUGUCUUACACUGAGCUGCCAGAGGCCUGAUGUGAGUCACUGAGUCACUGCCGCCAUGGUUCAAGGUACUGCGGGGGUAGAAGGUAUGCCAGACACACAGGAGGUCUGCUUGAACUUACGAUCGAUGCACUGAUAAGGCGAGGAAUGAGUUAGUGCUGCACCGUACAGCAUUCGCAGAACACAUAUAGUCUGUCCAAUGCAGCGACGUCCAGAAUCAGCGGGCAGGAAGCCUCUCAGUCUGGCAUCCAGCUGCUCAGUCUUGAGCGAGAUUGGAAUUUCAAAAGCAAAACCUCAGAGAGGAGAAGAAAGUAAUAUUCUGCAGUGUGUUGAACAAAAUAUCCGGUGGGUCAGUCCUUACCGAAGGCAUAUGGAAAGUUAACAAUAAGAUACCACAAGCUGCCACAGUGAGGGGAAUGUGCAUUAAAUAACCAGGACUCUGAGCCAAAUGACAAAUUCAAGUCUAGGCAAAUCCUUGUGGCCUUAAGCCUAAACACUCUUUUAACAGAUGGUUUACAUCUUCCCCUUAAGAGAACAGGAAACUGAGCGACCAACUAGACGCUGCCUGACCCGCUGAGUUACUCCGGCGUUUUGUGUCUAUCUUCUACAUUUUGAUAAUUAGGAGCUAACUUAACGGAGCAGGGAAGGAGUUUGCGGAAUGAAGGGGGACGGUGCGCUGUUACAGACUCUAACACUCCCGCAACCGUACCAAACACACCUCCUGAUUAACCCCUUCCCCCUCUGAUGGUCUCACCCUGUUGGAGGGAAAAGAAUCAACGGAGUGCAGCAAUCAAGGAGAAAAGAGGACAAACAAAAAUAAAAUAGAGGGCUGUUACAACUUGAAUGUAAAAACGUCUGCGUUUAAUUAAUUAAUAAAAAACACUUUGGCAGGAAA
Molecule: long non-coding RNA, 1032 nt
Organism: Amblyraja radiata (thorny skate)
Lineage: Eukaryota; Metazoa; Chordata; Chondrichthyes; Rajiformes; Rajidae
Exons: 2
Source: RefSeq, a predicted model, not a curated record